This 72-nucleotide transfer RNA is filed under the name Ictidomys tridecemlineatus (thirteen-lined ground squirrel). RNAcentral describes it as "Spermophilus tridecemlineatus (thirteen-lined ground squirrel) tRNA". It matches the Rfam family "tRNA". From Rfam's summary of the family: Transfer RNA (tRNA) molecules are approximately 80 nucleotides in length. Their secondary structure includes four short double-helical elements and three loops (D, anti-codon, and T loops). Lineage: Eukaryota; Metazoa; Chordata; Mammalia; Rodentia; Sciuridae. The record is from Rfam by way of RNAcentral.
UGAGGUGUGGCUCAGUGGUCUAGCACUUGCCUUUCAGGCACAAGACCCUGGGUUAAGUUCCCAGCACCACAA